CCUACGGGGGGCAGCAGUGAGGAAUAUUGGUCAAUGGGCGUAAGCCUGAACCAGCCAAGUCGCGUGCAGGAUGAAGGUUCUAUGGAUCGUAAACCGCUUUUAUAAGGGAAUAAAGUGCGGGACGUGUCCCGUUUUGUAUGUACCUUAUGAAUAAGGAUCGGCUAACUCCGUGCCAGCAGCCGCGGUAAUACGGAGGGGCCGGGCGUUAUCCGGAUUUAUUGGGUUUAAAGGGUGCGUAGGCGGCCUUUUAAGUUAGCGGUGAAAGUCUGUGGCUCAACCAGAGAAUUGCCGGUGAAACUGGGAGGCUUGAGUCUGGUAGAGGCAGGCGGAAUGCGUGGUGUAGCGGUGAAAUGCUUAGAGAUAACGAAGAAUCCCGAUUGCGAAGGCAGCCUGCUGGGCCAUGACUGACGCUGAGGCACGAAAGCGUGGGGAUCAAACAGGAUUAGAUACCCUAGUAGUC
RNAcentral lists this ribosomal RNA (460 nucleotides) under uncultured bacterium. RNAcentral describes it as "partial 16S ribosomal RNA". It matches the Rfam family "Bacterial small subunit ribosomal RNA", at positions 338 to 795 of the family's 1533-position model. The record is from RNAcentral.